CUCCCCUGUACUGAGGACUCCACAUCUGGAUGCAGUACUCCAGAAAAACUGGGACAGGAGAGGCAACGGGGACAUAAUCAAGAUUGAGGCGGAGAGUGAAGAAGGGGAGGUAAGUUUUUAAACUGCUGCUGCUGUAGUUAGCCUUGGCUGACUGCUAGGUGCCAUGCAACUGCUGUCUCACUCCCCAUCCCCAACAGGACACUAACCAGUCACUGUCAAAGGCAAAACAGACUUGACUUGGGUAAAAGUAAUUUACUAACAAUUAAAAAAAUAAUUCUGAUGGUGAGAAAUGAUUGAAAAGUGUUUUACCAAAUAUUUAAGAGUAAGGAUGGGAUAGACUAGAAGGGAUCUAUUGGCAGUGAAUGCUUUCUUUGCCUUAGGGCACGUAGCAGCUCUACUGGCCUUGCCUGGAGGCCACUGCUAGAGAGGACUCCUUUUUCAGAACAUCAGCUGAGAUGCUGACUAUCUGCUGCAGCACCUGAGUGAAUCCUGCUGCAGGAGGUGUAUAAAUACAAUGCAGUUUCCCUCCAGCAAAGAUUGAAAACAUUUAGCUGUUGUCUUCAUCAGAUAGACGUGUGCUUGGAGUAAAUACGUUUAUGAAGAGACCCUGAAGGAAGAGGAUGAAUAUGAGAAGAUUUUUGCUAUAGAAGAAAUGAGGGCUGUAUGUUAGCCAGGAAGAGUAAAACUACAGAGCAAAAACCAGAGGCAUCUACCUUAUGGAAAUCCUAGAGAAAAAGCAAGAUAUGAAGUAGAUAUAGAUACUUUGUCAUAUGGACAGAACUUUAAUGCAUAUGUACUGAUAAAUACCCAUAUGCUGAAGUAGCAACUUUGAUUCAUAUUUAUACAUUCUUGCAUUCAACAUAUAAAUCCCAGCUACACAAUCUGUUAGGAAGGCAUGUUGUUAUGGUUUUGAAGACACGUAACUUUGUGAGGGAGAGAGGACUUGGCUGAGAAAGACAUAAAGAAGCUGCACAAUUAUCAAGGAUAGGUUGAGAAUUAUGGAGAGGAUGAAAGAGGAAGGUAAGAGACACGGAAACAAAAUCCCUCACCACUCCUCCCUAGCAGAUUCUAGGUGCACUGAGGCAGUGACAGUGUGAAAACAGAGAACACCCUCCCUCUGCUCUGUGUGCCAGUGCUGCUGAAUGAGCUUCUUCUGAGUAGGCAAAUGUCUGUGCCACAAAGGUUUCCCAUGGCACAGCCAUCUGGGCAGAGAUCAAUCUGGAAAUUAAAUUCAGUCAUUUAGAUUAGUCUUGCUUCAGAUGUGACUUUCGCUAUGUGGUCGGCACGAAUGCUUCAGCAAUAAAACAAUUCACUCAGCACCCUGUCCUUUCUUAGUCCUUUCAUGCCUUAUGAUAUGUUGUAACUCACACAUACCUGUCAGAUAGAUCCAUUAGACUGUAAACUCUGGGACAAAGAUAUGUCUUCUGUGAAGUGCUUAGCACUUCUGGGCAAUAAAAAGUAAAUAAAAUACAAAUCAUUCAUCUAGAACUGUUUACACUCCACCCUUUGGCAUCAUCUCACAUCAGCUCUUGAAGCAAUACCAACAGUCAUGAAUAGAUAAGCAGUGCACCAGAACAAGGCAGUUAGCCAGAUAGGUUCCUUUCAGUCACCGAACUCAUUUUCAGGAAAUUGCCUUAGUGCUUUCUUGCAUUUUUGUUCUUAUUGACUUAUUUUUUAUUCAUCUAAAUGCUUGGGUAGCCAGAACGGGUAAUUAUUUUUAAUAGUGCUUUUCAUUAACAGUGUUAUAUUGAUACUGAGGCAGGGGUAGUAAAAACAUUUGGUUUUUGAAUGCGUUCGUCCACUGCUCCCAUUCCUUUCUGCCACAGUGUCUGCAAACGUUCUUUUCAAAUGUACCAAGUUUAAGAAAUUAAAUAUAUGUGCUAAGAGAUCUUGACCUUGAAAGGAGAGGCUGUUGUGAUUGUCCUGCAGAAAGCUAAAAAGGUUGAUUAUACUUUAAAUCACAGUGAUAUCAGACACGAUUAUUCCAGUUUGAGAGAAAUGUUGAUAGAAUUAAUUUAGACCUCAUGCCCAGUUAAAAGAACAUCCUAUAUCCAGAAUUAACUGAUGGAAAGUUGUUGGGUAAAAGGUAUGAGAAUCUGAGCAAUGGUUCAUUUAAACUUGAGGGAACUUCAGAGAAGUCUUUCCUCACUAAGAGCUCUCAGCUCCUGACAGUCAGGGAUUUCAGGUUUUUAAACUGAAGAUUUCAGUGGGGUCAAAGUGUUGAAGAGUUUCCUACAGUCAUAAUUUCCGUGUAUUUAUCCAGUUUAUCUUAAGCAUAUUUUAUACAUUCAGUGUCCACAUUAUCCUAUACAAAUGAGUCUAAAACUCACUGUAAGAAGUUCUUUUAUUUAGUUGGUUUUACAUCUUUCAUAUUUGCCAUUCUUGGCACUUUGCUAAGAAAAAAGAGGUAAAAGCCAUUUACCAUACCAUAUCACCCAUAGUUAUGUAUAUCUUUAUAAUAUUACACUUCAGCUAUGUCUCUUUCAAGGUGAAGAAUCCAUCCUCCAACUAUUCUGUCCUCCUAUAUUCUAUAUUCUGUGCUAUAUACUAGAACUCCAUGCUACUGCUCUCUCCAUGUCUUCUUGCAACUUUUGAAAAAGUAGGACACCCAGAAUAGGACACUUCUUUUUUCAGGUGUAAAAGUGUUUUCUGUUUUAUUCAUUUACUUGCCUAGUUGUUCCUAAAAUGCCAUUUCCUUCCGAGUAUGCAGGCAGUGUUUUUAGAAAACUGCCAACAAGGACUCCAAGAUCCCUUUCCUGAAUGGUAAUAACUAAUUUAGAGUAUAUAGUUUUGUUAAAAUUAUUUUUCCCAUGUGCAUUGCUUUGCAUUUUUUUUUUGAUGCUGAAUUUCAUCUGCCACUUCAUUGCUUCAGUCAAUUAGUAUUUUGAGAUUCUUCUGCAAUACUUCCCAGACAGGAAGGUCCCUGUAAAUUUCACAGAAGAGUAAAAUUGGAAUCUAUGGCCUUUAAAUUUAAUCUCAUCUUUGUUACAUUUUUAAUGGUGUAAUACGUUUCUUCUGGUCAGAUUUAUAACCUGAUCUGCAUCAUGGGAUGUACCUGAGGGAGUAAGAAUGUUUGAAGCAAUGUUUUUUUCCUAAGCACAGCUUAUCGCAGUAGUGAAUGCCAGGCAGUCUGAAGGAUGGGGCCAUUUCCUCAUCAAUUAGAGAUGUGUGUAUGUGGGAAAUUGCACCAACUUAAAUGCAUUCCACCUGAGCUCAUCUGGCCUGUUUUUAUAGUGAAAAAUAUCAAUUUUUUGCUAAUGCUGGUUUCUUCACAUCACUUCUAAUAAUACUUGGAUCCUUGGCGCAAAUGAUGCAUGAGUGAUUGCUAGUCUUCUAGUUGCUGUAUGGGUUAUACCUUCUUACAGUAAGUUUACAUGAAAUACCGUUUAAAAUAAAUGAACAAGGGCUGCUUCAAAAGUAAUGCCUCCUAUUUUAUUAUGUUUGCUCAUGAUGUUAGAGGUGAAUGCUGGUGAUAUGGCCAUAGAAGUUGAACCUUCCCACCAAUAUUCUAUUACAUUUUGUUGCUGUGAGACAGAUGGCAGAAGAGGAGUGGUUCAACAAAUGGUGCAUGCCAUGGAAGUACAGAUUAAGCAAAGGUGUGGAAUUGAAUUCCUCUAUGAGGACAAAAUGGCAUUCAGUGACAUUAAUCAGUGCUUGCUAAACGUUUAUGGAGACCAAACAGGGGGUGUGAGCUCAGUGAGGCGGUGGGUGGUGCAUCUCAGCAGUGGAGACAACGAUGUGAAAGACAAGCCACGUUCUGGAUAGUCCCACAGAUUUUUUGUGAAUGUGGCUCACAGGCUCUUGUUGAUCAGUGUCAAAAAUUGUAUCUCUUGUUCAUCUGUGUCAAAAAUGUGUAGCUAAUGGUGGCAACUAUGUUGAACCAAUAGUAUGUUGUAGCAGAGAAUUUUCUCUAUCAAAAAAUAUUACUGUGCUCUUUGUAUCUGUUGCAGUUUCCAUGGAAAUAAGUAGGAGGCAUUACUUUCGAGUGACCUAAGCAUUUUGUUUCAGUUUUUAUGCAUAUCUUUGCUGAGUACUCAUUUGAGGUAGCAAAGUGAGAGUGCUUCCAUUCUACCCAGAGCAGCUCCCUCACUAAUUGACCUAAUUAACAUUAUCCAUAAAACACAAAUAGAAAAUUCACCUUUACCUGAGGAUGGUAGAUUUUUUAGCUCUUGUUCUCUCCAAUGCUUCCACCCACAUGAAAGGAUGAGCUGGGAAGUCUGUGGCUCACGCUGGAUAUUCCAGACUCACUACAUCAGCUCUAGCUGAAGAAGCCUCAUAUGGAUUAUGGCAGAUGGGCAAAGAGGAUGUAGUCUAGAUGGCAGAUAGGUGAGAAGAAAGGAUAUGGGGAGAUUGCUGAGAUGGCAGUGAAGAAGCCACUGCUCUACAAAUUUGAUAGAAAAAUUUAAGCACAAAAACCAGGGAACCCUCAGUGCUAUUUCUACAGAAUCAUGCUUGUAGAAUAUAACGGCCGUUUGAUACACUAAAUUGUUUGUUAAAAUAAAACUAGUUUUCAUUAGGCUUCUUGCCAAUAACAAGGAUUAUUUUCACCCAAGUAUGCCCCGUGAUCUAGUCUUAUCUUUCACCAUUCCAAACUGACCCGUAUCAGUAAAUCUGAGAGACAAAUACAGUUCCAUCAUGCCGUUUGUACUUUUAUAUCAAAGCAUUAAGUAUUUACAUGAAGCUAUUUCCCAGCUCUGAGGAGAGGAAA
Meleagris gallopavo (turkey) is the source of this 4708-nucleotide non-coding RNA. The record is from RefSeq and is a predicted model, not a curated record. NCBI's taxonomy places the organism in Eukaryota, Metazoa, Chordata, Aves, Galliformes, Phasianidae.